Fundulus heteroclitus (mummichog) is the source of this 505-nucleotide long non-coding RNA. RefSeq lists it as uncharacterized. Lineage: Eukaryota; Metazoa; Chordata; Actinopteri; Cyprinodontiformes; Fundulidae. The record is from RefSeq and is a predicted model, not a curated record. The transcript has 3 exons.
GAAGCUUUUUCAAAAAGCCGACGGCUGCACCAGCAGCACCACCAGCAGCAGCGCCAACAGCUGCUGCAAAACACACUGAUGUACCAGGUCAGCUGCCAUCCUGCAGUAAAGACAUUGGGUCAUCUGCAGACUGCAGAUUUCUACUGCAGACUGCAGUAGCAUCAGCCAGUGAACCACCACAAACAAGUGCUGUUUCAGUGGACGGUGGGGCAUAUGUUAAUGUUCAUGCUCUGAGGUCUGGGGGCCAGUCCAAGCUCAUGGUUCCUAAGAUGAGACUUAAAACCAGGGUGGACAGGGCAUUCUCUGUUGUUUGUCCCAGACUCUGGAACACUCUGCCCGUCUGUGUUUGAACAGCCCCCACUGUGGAGGGUUUUAAGUCUCGUCUGAAGGCCCACUUUUAUUCUCUGGCUUUAACACUGUGUGACUUGUAUGGUCCUAUGUGUCUUUUACUGUUUUAGCUGAUUGUCCUAUUUUAUUUUAUUUUAUUGGAUUGGAUUUAUUGUAU